Molecule: long non-coding RNA, 409 nt
Organism: Anopheles merus
Lineage: Eukaryota; Metazoa; Arthropoda; Insecta; Diptera; Culicidae
Exons: 3
Source: RefSeq, a predicted model, not a curated record
UGCCAGUUAUUAGGAUUAGGAUUAAACCAGUAUUAGGAUUAGGAUAUAAUUAGGAUUUAAACCAGUGCCGUUGAAUAAAAUGGUGUACAACAGGUUAGAAAACAUUCGGUGUAUUUUGUUUUGUUUUUUUAAAGCUCUUUCGAUUACCUAUUACGGAAGCAAAUAUGUUUCACUAAUGUGCAAAAGAAUGGCUCACUGGCUGGUUAGUGCAGACUAUGAUCGGAUGCGCAUUUCCCUACGCCGCAGUGCCGGGUGCAUCAUACGUCGGUGUUGGGUUGCUGUUACUGGGCCGAGCGGAUGCGCGUGCACACGUGGGAAUAAACGACACGCAACCGUGGUAUUUUAUAUUGCAUCGGUACGAUUAUCGUGUUCAAAGGCUUUUUCGAGAAAUGCCAAUACAUAAAUCGGU